Molecule: ribosomal RNA, 464 nt
Filed under: uncultured Klebsiella sp.
Lineage: Bacteria; Pseudomonadati; Pseudomonadota; Gammaproteobacteria; Enterobacterales; Enterobacteriaceae
Description: bacterial SSU rRNA
Rfam family: Bacterial small subunit ribosomal RNA
Source: RNAcentral
CCUACGGGAGGCAGCAGUGGGGAAUAUUGCACAAUGGGCGCAAGCCUGAUGCAGCCAUGCCGCGUGUGUGAAGAAGGCCCUCGGGUUGUAAAGCACUUUCAGCGGGGAGGAAGGCGGUGAGGUUAAUAACCUCAUCGAUUGACGUUACCCGCAGAAGAAGCACCGGCUAACUCCGUGCCAGCAGCCGCGGUAAUACGGAGGGUGCAAGCGUUAAUCGGAAUUACUGGGCGUAAAGCGCACGCAGGCGGUCUGUCAAGUCGGAUGUGAAAUCCCCGGGCUCAACCUGGGAACUGCAUUCGAAACUGGCAGGCUAGAGUCUUGUAGAGGGGGGGAGAAUUCCAGGUGUAGCGGUGAAAUGCGUAGAGAUCUGGAGGAAUACCGGUGGCGAAGGCGGCCCCCUGGACAAAGACUGACGCUCAGGUGCGAAAGCGUGGGGAGCAAACAGGAUUAGAACCCGAGUAGUC